CUAACGGGCCCCAACACACAAGCUGGUAUAUUCUUCAAACCAGAUAAAAUUUUUGAUUGUUUUUAGGCAGCAGAUGGGAAAUGAAUGAAAAUACCAUGGCGCAGGAAUCUAUUUAUUUUCAUAUGGUGUGUAAUUACUAAUUUGCAUUACCGCCUCGGGUGAAAACAAUUCUGUUUUAAUUAGCGUCAUUUCUACUCAAGCUUGUAUUAUUUAAAUGUGAAAACAUUUGCUGUUAACGAGAUUUAUUAUUUAAAUGUAAAAUGUGGAAUUAUCGGAUACACGAUAAAAGAAAUCCGGCAGAUAUGUAAGGGUGCUCUCCUUUUUUUGGAAUUGACACGAGUUACUGCUGAACGACCACUGAAAUACGGAUAGCAAAAUGCGGUAAUAGACAGAAGCGAGAUGAAAGCACGCGAAGAGAUGCAAAACAUCAGCAAUCUGAACAGAAAUGAAAAGAAAUGGAAUGAAAUUGUUAUUGUCGAGAGAUUGUUUGCAAGAUAUUCUAGGGUCAUGUAUACUUAUCUUUCUUUGUAGAAUGUUUGGUAGAAAUUCCCCUUUUUGCUACCCUCGGCCUAUUUCUCUCGCAGUGUGUAAACCCAAUCUUGUGAAGAAAUCUAGGGACAUAUGUGCUUUUUUAACCGUUUUUGGAAGUUUCUGUUUUUGUUUUACUCAAUUAUGGUCUUCCCCAACUUGUCUGAGAUUCAUUGUGCAAGAAUAACCAAGGCCAUGUGUUUAACCUCUCCCUGCGACCAGCUAUAGUCGCCUGAAAGAUGUUUUAUAAUCCUUUCAGUGCAGAAAUCCAGUGAAAUUGAUACAAAUUCUUGCUUUAAUUGAGAGUCAUUGUGCCAACUAUUUUGAUCAUGACGUGUGUAAAUAUUUUGUUUGCUGUUUUUGAGUGUUUCAUAGCAAAUUUUCUGUCUCGUGCCUUAAUCGUUCGAUUGCGAGACGCGAUUCGAGUACGAAAAAUACGGUCGAGUACGAGUUCGUACACGGGCUUGAGAGAGAGUACGACGACAGUUACACGGGUACGAGUUCGUGUUUUGAGUUCGAAUGCGAACAAAGUUCGUGUUUGAGCUCGAGUCCGAACAAAACUAUUUCGAGUACGCAAAAAAAUAGACGAGUAAGAGUUCGUGUACGGGGUUGAGUGAGAGUACGUAUAAAGUAACACGGGUACGAGUUCGUGUUUGAGUUCGAAUGCGAACCAAGUUCGUGUUUGAGCUCGAGUCCGAACAAAGCUAUCGAGUUCGAGUACGCAAAAAAUACACUAGACGAGUACGAGUUCGUAUACAGGGUUGAAUAAGAGUACGACUGACAAAGUUACACGAGUACGAGUUCGUGUUUGAGCUCGAGUGCGUAUUAAGCGAGUAGCCUAUUAUACAAGUUGGUGUUCGAGUAAAAAGAUAUACAUGAGUAUACGAGUACUUUAGCUGCUACUGACUACCACCUUCUAACUUCGACACAUUUUUUUUUAGGGAAGUUAUGGUGGCCUGUCUUGUAAUAUCCUUAUUUCGCCGUUUCGCGCAAAUUGCAACAAAUGUACUUGAUUUUUUUAAAAAUCUUUCCCAUUCAAUACCUUUUGCUUGAUUAUUGACUUUAUUGACACUUGUUGAGAUUUUCCUUUCGUUAGGGCCAUGUGUAUAAAUCAAACUUUGAAAUUUCAGUCAUGUCUGAACGCUUUCUCGUCGUUCUACAUUGAUACACAUUGUGAAAAAAUUCUAGGGCCAUGUGUAUACAAACCUUUCAUCGAAGUUUUCUAUUAAUGUCUGCCAAACCCAUAUUUUUGUCUUGUACAUUGUAUUUUCUUUUGUUCUUAAUAACUGACAGGUUAUUGCAGGAUUCUAGGGCCAUGUGAACCAAUCUUGCUUUGCCUUUGCAGAAACUCCUUCAAAUUUAUUAUGCAAGAUUACGUAGGGCCAUGUGACAUACAAAUCUCAUAUCCCUCCGAUAUGUGGACAUUUCUCUGAUUGUAUUUUCUUGAAAAAUACAUGCAAAAAAGUCUUUUCAUCCUGCUUUGAGUGUGUAAAAUAUUCCGCAGCAAUUUGUUAAGUUUCAACAGCUAUUUUUGAAGUUUACAAAAUAUAAAAUGCUGGAUCUAAGCUUUUCUAUAUGGGUAUCCCACACCUGUUAUAACUUAAUUGUGAUCUGAAUGAAAUAUUUAAGGACAUGUUCACAAAUCUACAUUAUUUGGCUGUUUAGCAGCAAUUUCCUCAACUGCGACGCCAUGCCCAUCCCUCUUAACGAAAACACCGAGGAUUUCUUGUAAAAAAAAAUGCUAUACCCAAUCAAGUGAUUAUCGUUUCCCUUUGAACAGGGUCGCGUUACUUUCGGCUACCUUGAAUUAAAUAUGUCUUAUUUAAUUAUAUGUCCUAUUCACAUUGAUUAUUUUUUUGUGAUAUGUUCUUCUGUAAUAGGUCUGAUCCGUAAAUAUUGGUAAUGCCUGCUGUGUUAGGGCCAUGGUGGUAAUGUUACUAAUAAUCAGGUGAUGACACCUGUUUCGUCGAAUACACCCCAUAUUCACUUUGUGAAGUGUCUGUAAUGAGUAUACACAGUGAAACAAAGUAUUGAUUUUUUUUUAAAGACCCACAAAAUCACAGUGGAGGUUUUGAUCAACAUUAACUUUUCAAUUCGGGUAAGUCCGAUCAGCACAGGUCGGCAAUGUGAAUAUUGUUUCCCUUUGAACAGGGUCGCAUUACUUUCGGCAACCUUGAAUUAAAUAUGUCCUAUCCUAAUUAUAUGCCCUAUUGACAUUGAUUAUUGUUUGUGAUAAUGUAAUUCUUCUGUAAUAACUCUGAUCCGUAAAGAUUAGUAAUGUCUUUUGUGUUAGGGCCAUGGUCACAAUGUUGCUAAUAAUCGGGCGAUAAUACUUGUUAGGUCGGAUACAAUCCAUAAUGGCUCCCCAGUCUACAGAGUAAAACAAAAGUAGUUCAUUGAUAUUUUUAAGAUCCGCAAAACGUGUGGAUUUGACUGACCAAUUAACUUUUCAAUUUCGACAAGUCCGAUCAGCACAGAUCGGCAAUGUGAAUAUUGUUUCCCUUUGAACAGGUUCGCCUUGCCUUCGGCCAACUUGGUACAAUAUCUAUAGAUGGCUGCAUCCGAAUUAACUGUCUAGAGCUAGGUCUAGGUCCACGCCCAUUGAAAAUACGCGCGGGGGCGCGCUGACAAUAGACGUAGCUGUAGCUCUGGAAGCCCGUUUCGGACACGGCCUUAUAAGAGACUCCGCAACCAGUAGUCCAAGUGAUAUUUAGAAUAGUCGACUAACUUGACUGUUCUCAUUCUCUAAGUGGUCAGGUAAGGGCCACUAAUUGGAUUCCUCUGACUGUCUGUACUUUGCAGACAGUAGACCAAAAAAUAGUUUCCCAUUUUCUUUGCUUAUACCCAUUGAUGUGGUCAGGUAAGGGCCACUGAAUGAGACUUUACCUACUUAGGCCUAGUUAUCCAGAAAGUUUGGCCCAAAAUUACGUUUCCAUUUGUCUAUGGUUGUAUCUUUCAUUACAGUGGUCAGGUAAGGGCCACUGAAUGAGACUUCACCUAUUAGGCCUAGUUAUCCAGAAUGUUUGGUCCAAAAGUGCGUAUGGUUGUAUCUUUCAUUACAGUGGUCAGGUAAGGACCACAUUUUCCCCUCGUUUCACCAAAAUAACGGUCACUAUUUUGACCAAGAAUUGACUGUACAUAUUUACUGACUUAACCUAGCCCCGCUAGGUAGAAUUGUUUUCUUUUUUUGUAAGUCCAUUUUCAGCCACUUGCAGUUAGAUAAUGAGACAUGCGAGCCCGAGUGUUCCUGUCAGAUGUGGAGGAACCGGAAGCAGGGAGGAAGAACUACGGAUGACUGAGGACCCUGCUUGCAGGGCAUCCCAUUACUGCUUCCAUGGAGAUGAGGGUCUACAAGAUCAGAUGUCAUUCUUGACGAAGUUACGAUCGAUUCUAAUUCCCAAGGAGCCGGAAGCAGGGAGGAGGACCGACGGAAGGACUGAUGACCUGCUUGCAGAGCAAGUCUUCACCAAUUAUUGAGAUUCCUUUUGCCUCGUGUAAUAAGAAGCAGAAAGAGUGGCAAUAUUCAUUACGGAGUGCAGUUCUUCACUACGACAGGAAUUAACACGAAUUUUAAGCAACAUCCCACUUUCAGUUUUACUUUAAUGGCUCCUGAACAUUCCCAGUACGUUUCUCUCUAAAAAUUCGAGGUGUUGACACUGAGAACAUGCAUCUUGAUCCUCACCUUCACCAUUGAUGUUUAAGCUGAUUGACACGAAAAUUUCCCCUCUUAAAGAGUUUACGUAGCGUAUUAAACCCAGUCUUCCUAAACCAAAUAAGAAACGCUUCUACUAAAACAAUUCAUGAAAAAAAUAUAUUCUAGGAGGUUACACUGAGCAUUUAACUCAGUCUUCCGAAACCAAAUAUGAAACAUUAUUACUAAAAUAUUUAAGGAAACAAUAUACAUGUACUCUACGAGGUUACAUGGAUGAUUAAUAUGUCUUCUGAAACCAAAUUAGAAAUAUUAUUACUAAAACAGUCCAUUGAGAAAAACGAUA
Molecule: long non-coding RNA, 4523 nt
Filed under: Patiria miniata (bat star)
Lineage: Eukaryota; Metazoa; Echinodermata; Asteroidea; Valvatida; Asterinidae
Description: uncharacterized LOC119745436
Source: RNAcentral